GAUGAACGCUGGCGGCGUGCCUAAUACAUGCAAGUCGAACGCUUCACUUCGGGGAAGAGUGGCGAACGGGUGAGUAAUACAUAAGUAACCUGGCAUCUACAGGGGGAUAACUGAUGGAAACGUCAGCUAAGACCGCAUAGGUGUAGAGAUCGCAUGAACUCUAUAUGAAAAGUGCUACGGGACUGGUAGAUGAUGGACUUAUGGCGCAUUAGCUGGUUGGUAGGGUAACGGCCUACCAAGGCGACGAUUCGUAGACGACCUGAGAGGGUGACCGGCCACCCUUGGGCUGAGAGACGGCCCAGACUCCGACGGGAGGCAGCAGUAGGGAAUUUUCGGCAAUGUGGGAAACCCUGACCGAGGAACGCCGCGGGAAGGAAGAAGUAAUUCGUUAUGUAAACUUCUGUCAUAGAGGAAGAACGGUGGAUAUAGGGAAUGAUAUCCAAGUGACGGUACUCUAUAAGAAAGCCACGGCUAACUACGUGCCAGCCGCCGCAGUAA
This 498-nucleotide ribosomal RNA is filed under the name uncultured bacterium. RNAcentral's name for it is "partial 16S ribosomal RNA". It matches the Rfam family "Bacterial small subunit ribosomal RNA", at positions 28 to 523 of the family's 1533-position model. The record is from RNAcentral.